Molecule: ribosomal RNA, 2001 nt
Filed under: human gut metagenome
Description: bacterial LSU rRNA
Rfam family: Bacterial large subunit ribosomal RNA
Source: RNAcentral
GAACUCGGAGAUAGCUGGUUCUCCUCGAAAUAGCUUUAGGGCUAGCCUCAAAGUGAGAUACGCGGGGGUAGAGCACUGAAUGUUCUAGGGGCCUUCACCGGUUACCGAAAACUAUCAAACUCCGAAUACCGCAGUAUUAUCUUUGGGAGUCAGACUACGAGAGAUAAGUUCCGUGGUCAAAAGGGAAACAGCCCAGACCUACAGCUAAGGUCCCAAAAUGUAAGUUAAGUGGAGAAGGAUGUGGAGCUGCAUAGACAACUAGGAUGUUGGCUUAGAAGCAGCCACUCAUUUAAAGAGUGCGUAAUAGCUCACUAGUCGAGUGACUCUGCGCCGAAGAUAAACGGGGCUGAAACUUACCACCGAAGCUUUGGAUACCCAUAGGGUAUGGUAGAGGAGCAUCGUAUACGGGCCGAAGCGGAAAUGUGAGUUUCCGUGGACUGUAUAGGAGAGAGAAUGUUGGCAUGAGUAGCGAGAGGCAGGUGAGAAUCCUGCCCGCCGAAAAUCUGAGGUUUCCUGAGGAAGGUUCGUCCGCUCAGGGUAAGUCGGGACCUAAGCCGAGAGCGAAAGCUGUAGGCGAUGGACAACAGGUUGAGAUUCCUGUACCACCGAAAGUCGUUUGAAUGAAGUGGGGACGCAGGAGGAUAGACAGAGCACGCCGUUGGUAGAGCGUGUCCAAGCACGGAGUGUAUCGGGUAGGCAAAUCCGCUCGGUGAAAAGCAUGACGUGUGACGGGGAGGGAAAAUAGUACCGAAGCUGUCGAUUUCACACUGCCAAGAAAAGCCGCUAAUGAGACUGUAGGUGCCCGUACCGCAAACCGACACAGGUAGAUGAGGAGAGAAUCCUAAGGCGAGCGAGAGAACUAUUGUUAAGGAACUCGGCAAAAUGACCCCGUAACUUAGGGAGAAGGGGUGCCUGCGAAAGCAGGCCGCAGUGAAAAGGCCCAGGCGACUGUUUACCAAAAACACAGGUCUCUGCGAAAGCGAAAGCUGAAGUAUAGGGGCUGACGCCUGCCCGGUGCUGGAAGGUUAAGGGGAGAGCUUAGCGCGAGCGAAGGUUUGAACUUAAGCCCCAGUAAACGGCGGCCGUAACUAUAACGGUCCUAAGGUAGCGAAAUUCCUUGUCGGGUAAGUUCCGACCCGCACGAAAGGCGUAACGAUCUGGGAACUGUCUCAACAAUAGACUCGGUGAAAUUGUAGUACCGGUAAAGAUGCCGGUUACCCGCAGCAGGACGGAAAGACCCCAUGGAGCUUCACUGUAGCUUGAUAUUGAAUUUCGGCGUUGCAUGUACAGGAUAGGUGGGAGACGAAGAGACCAGGACGCCAGUCUUGGUGGAGUCACCGUUGGGAUACCACCCUUGUAACGUUGAGGUUCUAACUUUGUACCGUGAACCGGUAUGAGGACAGUGUCAGGUGGGCAGUUUGACUGGGGCGGUCGCCUCCUAAAGAGUAACGGAGGCGCCCAAAGGUUCCCUCAGCGCGGACGGAAAUCGCGCGAAGAGUGUAAAGGCAGAAGGGAGCUUGACUGCGAGACAAACAGGUCGAGCAGGGACGAAAGUCGGGCUUAGUGAUCCGGUGGUUCCGAGUGGAAGGGCCAUCGCUCAACGGAUAAAAGCUACCCUGGGGAUAACAGGCUGAUACCCCCCAAGAGUUCACAUCGACGGGGGUGUUUGGCACCUCGAUGUCGGCUCGUCUCAUCCUGGGGCUGAAGUAGGUCCCAAGGGUUGGGCUGUUCGCCCAUUAAAGAGGUACGCGAGCUGGGUUCAGAACGUCGUGAGACAGUUCGGUCCCUAUCCGCUGUGGGCGUUGGAAAUUUGAGUGGAGCUGUCCCUAGUACGAGAGGACCGGGAUGGACGUAGCUCUGGUGCACCAGUUGUUCUGCCAAGAGCAUAGCUGGGUAGCUACCUACGGACGGGAUAAGCGCUGAAAGCAUCUAAGUGCGAAGCCCCCCACAAGAAAAGAUUUCCUCCUUUAAGGUAAGACCCGUGGGAGACUACCACGUUGA